GCUGUAGGCCCUCCAGUUGGUCCGUAUACAUCUGGUGCUCUGCGCGCGGCGCCAUGGCGAUGAGAAUUGCAACCGAGGAAAGUGUCGAGUUUUGAAGCUGUUUCAAUGAUUUCCAGAAAUCUCGCAGUCGUAGAGGUCCAACAAGAAGGCUACUUCAGUUUUAAGUAAUGGAGCUUGUGAAUUGGGAGCUUGUGAAUUGGGGCUGAAAAUGAAAAGGCUUUGAAAGAUGAUGGGAUCAUCCAUUUUGAGCUACAAAUGCAUUAUUGAAUCUCUCUAAUGAAUCAAGAAUUGGUUCCUUAUGAAGGCUUUGAAUUAUUAUAGAUUAACUGCUUCUAAUUGGAUACUAGAAAAUAAAGGGGUACAAAUAUGUAAAAUUUGAGUGGUUUUAGUUGCUAACAAGAGAUAGAGAGAAAGAGAGAGAGAGGGGUUUUAGAGAGAAUUUUCAGAGGGUUGGGAAAAUGUUGGAAAUGAAGGAGUUGGAUUCGAAGAGGCGGGCGAACUCGAAUCUGGAGCGUUUCCUGAACUGUACGACCCCAUCGUUCCCUGCACAGCGCCUAUUUAAGGAUUAUAUUCAUGGUUCAGAGGAACUCGAACAAUGGGGUUCUUUCGAAAAUGGGUAUUCGGAAUAUUUUAGGCUGAGAGACCUAUGGAACUGCUACGACGAGUGGAGUGCAUAUGGAGCAGGAGUUCCUGUUCAUCUUAGAACUGGGGAAAUUGUUCUACAAUAUUAUGUGCCUUAUCUCUCAGCUCUACAAAUCUAUACCCGAACCCCCAUUACACCAACUUCACCAUUCAGUGAUCAAGCAAGGGAUGGAAGGCACAGCAGUGACUGUGACCUCAGGGACUUAAGUGGCAGUGAUAGUGAGAGUGUAAACUCGAAUUCAAGUGAGAGCAGGUCUUCAAGCCUUCAGAGUUGGUGCAGCAAUUAUGACAAUGAAAGGUGGGAAGCCCAAUCAGAUGGAAACAGAGAAAAUUUUUGGAGGCCGACUAACCGACUAGGAUACCUCUAUCUUGAGUACAUGGAGCACACUCCACCUUAUGCAAGGGUUCCUUUCAUGGACAAAAUUAACCAGCUUAUUGCCGGAUGCCCUGAGCUUACCUCCUUGAGAAGCAUCGAUUUAUCUCCUGCGAGUUGGAUGUCAGUUGCUUGGUAUCCAAUCUAUCACAUACCCCCAAGCCGAAUGGUUCGGGAUCUCUCAGCCUGCUUUCUCACAUACCACACCCUCUCCUCAUCCUUCCAAGGGAUUGUUCCUAACUGCCAAAACUGUCUUUCAAGCCAAAGCACCCAAUGAUGCUAUGGAACAUUUGACAUGAGCACCUUGGCAGAAACUAUGGGGUGGUCAUGGACUCCCUAAUCUUGGCCACUAUUCAGCUGAAAUUCAUACCAAAGUACUUUUGGGAUUUGGAGUUCUCUUUUUGCUUACACAUAUAGAUAUGCACAAAAUGUGUGAAGGCUAAGAGCAAGCGCCACCAAUAAAAGGGCACAAUAAUGGUCCUUGUUUUCUUUCUUAGUUAGUGAGGAUGAUGAGCCUCUACCCAUUUUCGGUCCCCUAGCUAUUUGUGAAAUAGUCCGUUUUUUUAAUCCGUUAGUAAAAAUGAAGGUCAAGACUUUUGGUACUACCAGUAGAUUGGGCCCACAGAUUGGGUUACCUGCCAAAUAUACAAAAUUUCUUGGGAGUAUAGUUCUUUGAAGUAUUUUUUGUGAAAUAAUAUUUAAUCAAUACUACUUUGAGCUUGGGGCCCAGGCUGAAGCUAAGCCUUGAAGGUUGAACCAUGUAUGGAAUGGUGAAUGAUCUAAUAGUUUUGAUUGGGGGACAGAUGGUGAUAGCUUGAUGAGAGGAGGAGAUGUGAGAGAGAAUGAAAAGAAUAUAAGGCUGGAACCUUUUGGAUUGGCAACAUACAAGCUUCAAGGUGAUGUUUGGCUACCUUUGAGGGGAGGGGGUUCGGAGCAGUGGCGCCUUUAUGCUUUGUGGACAUCCUCUCUCUCCUGGCUCAACCAGCUCCAGGUCCACCACCCUGACUUCCACUUCUUCCUCCACCAUAGAGACUAAAACUUUAAGAGCAGAUUAAAUAUAUGGAUUUCCAUAAGAUUUCAUUUUGCCCAAGGAGAUGAAGGGGUAUGUCCUCACUUUUUGCAUAUUAAACCCAGUGGUUUUGAGGUCCUAGCUUCUUUGCCCUUUUUUGGAGGGUUUGAAUUCCUUUGAGCCGUAGGAUUGCAUUUCUCACUUUUGGCCUUGGUCUUGAAAUAGAUGAGGAAACGGUUGCAAUUGUGUCUCAUGAGCAAGCUGGUGAAGGCACUGUAAAAGAACUUGUUUGAGUCGGCCUGUGAAUAUUGUUUGUACAGGCCCUUUUUUUUUUUUUUGGCCAAUUCUCGUGUACGUACGAUGGUGAAAGCCUAGUAUUUAAAAGAAAAUACAAGGUGAAUAGCGGUAACUGCAAGUGUUGUUUUCAACCUAUGGAAUAUCUUUAGAUAAUAAAGGAAAUUUUUUUAAUCAGAA
Amborella trichopoda is the source of this 2498-nucleotide RNA transcript. RefSeq lists it as uncharacterized. The record is from RefSeq and is a predicted model, not a curated record. NCBI's taxonomy places the organism in Eukaryota, Viridiplantae, Streptophyta, Magnoliopsida, Amborellales, Amborellaceae.